RNAcentral lists this ribosomal RNA (495 nucleotides) under uncultured bacterium. RNAcentral describes it as "partial 16S ribosomal RNA". It matches the Rfam family "Bacterial small subunit ribosomal RNA", at positions 28 to 507 of the family's 1533-position model. The record is from RNAcentral.
GACGAACGCUGGCGGCGUGCCUAAUACAUGCAAGUAGAACGCUGAAGGAGGAGCUUGCUUCUCUGGAUGAGUUGCGAACGGGUGAGUAACGCGUAGGUAACCUGCCUGGUAGCGGGGGGUAACUAUUGGAAACGAUAGCUAAUACCGCAUAAUAGUAGAUGUCGCAUGACAUUUGCUUAAAAGGUGCAAUUGCAUCACUACCAGAUGGACCUGCGUUGUAUUAGCUAGUUGGUGAGGUAACGGCUCACCAAGGCAACGAUACAUAGCCGACCUGAGAGGGUGAUCGGCCACACUGGGACUGAGACACGGCCCAGACUCCUACGGGAGGCAGCAGUAGGGAAUCUUCGGCAAUGGACGGAAGUCUGACCGGGCAACGCCGCGUGAGUGAAGAAGGUUUUCGGAUCGUAAAGCUCUGUUGUAAGAGAAGAACGAGUGUGAGAGUGGAAAGUUCACACUGUGACGGUAUCUUACCAGAAAGGGACGGCUAACUACGUG